UCAAGCUAUAAAGAGCGCAAGGGGAAUGCCUUGGCAUCAGGAGCCGAAGAAGGACGUGACAAGCUGCGAUAAGCUUCGGGGAGGAGCAAAUAUCCGUUGAUCCGGAGAUUUCCGAAUGGGGAAACCCACCAGAGCAAUACUCUGGUAUCGUGCGUUGAAUAAAAUAGGCGUACGAGGGGAACGCCCUGAACUGAAACAUCUAAGUAGGGGCAGGAAAAGACAUCAACCGAGAUUCCGCAAGUAGUGGCGAGCGAACGCGGAGGAGGCCAAACCGGAGGAUUUAUUCUCCGGGGUUAGGACUGGCAUCACGAUCAGAGGUAUCUAGAAGAACGGCAUGGGAAGGCCGGCCAUAGAGGGUGAGAGCCCCGUAUUUGAAAGAGAAGACUGACAGCCAGUAUCCAGAGUACCGCGGGACACGUGAAACCCCGUGGGAAGAUGGGUGGACCACCAUCCAAGCCUAAAUACUACCUGAUGACCGAUAGAGGAGCAGUACCGUGAGGGAAAGGUGAAAAGGACCCCGGGAGGGGAGUGAAAGAGAACCUGAAACCUUGUGCUUACAAGCAGUCAAAGCGCGUUAAAGCGUGAUGACGUACUUUUUGUAGAACGGUCCGGCGAGUUAUAGUAACGAGCAAGCUUAAGGUAUUGAGUACCGGAGGCGAAGCGAGAGCGAGUCUGAAUAGGGCGUAAAGUUCGUUGCCAUAGACCCGAAACCGGGUGACCUAUCCAUGAGCAGGCUGAAGUGAGAGUAAAAUCUCAUGGAGGGCCGAACCGACCCCCGUUGCAAUGGUGGCGGAUGACUUGUGGAUAGCGGAGAAAUUCCAAUCGAACUCGGAGAUAGCUGGUUCUCCCCGAAAUAGCUUUAGGGCUAGCGUCGGAUAUGUGUAGUGGAGGUAGAGCACUGAAUGGGCUAGGGGGCAUAUCGCUUACCGAACCUUAUCAAACUCCGAAUGCCAUAUACAUUAAGUCCGGCAGUCAGACUACGAAUGAUAAGAUCCGUGGUCAAAAGGGAAACAGCCCAGAUCGUCAGCUAAGGUCCCAAAGUGUAAGUUAAGUGGAAAAGGAUGUGGGAUUUCUAAGACAACUAGGAUGUUGGCUUAGAAGCAGCCACUCAUUUAAAGAGUGCGUAAUAGCUCACUAGUCGAGAGAUCCUGCGCCGAAAAUGUCCGGGGCUCAAACUUACCACCGAAGCUACGGGCUUGCGUAAGCAAGCGGUAGGGGAGCGUCGUAAUCGGGCUGAAGUCGUACCGUAAGGAGCGGUGGACUGAUUACGAGUGAGAAUGUUGGCAUUAGUAGCGAGAUGUAGGUGAGAAUCCUACAGGCCGAAUAUCUAAGGUUUCCUCAGGAAGGCUCGUCCGCUGAGGGUUAGUCGGGACCUAAGCCGAGGCCGAAAGGCGUAGGCGAUGGACAAUCGGUUGAUAUUCCGAUACCACUACCAUCGUUAUUAUCGAGGGUGUGACGGAGAAGGAUAGUGUGUGCUAGCGAUUGGAAAUGCUAGUCUAAGCGUUUAGGGAGUUACGGUAGGCAAAUCCGCUGUAACAAUUCUGAGGCGUGAUGGGGAAGGUCAUAUAGACCGAAGUACAUGAUUCCAUGCUUCCAAGAAAAGCAUCUAGAGAGAGAAGUAGUGCCCGUACCGCAAACCGACACAGGUAGAUGAGGAGAGAAUCCUAAGGCCGGCGGAAGAAUUGCAGUUAAGGAACUAGGCAAAUUGACCCCGUAAGUUCGCGAGAAGGGGUGCCUGCGAGAGCAGGCCGCAGAGAAUAGGCCCAAGCAACUGUUUAGCAAAAACACAGGUCUCUGCUAAAGCGCAAGCUGAUGUAUAGGGGCUGACGCCUGCCCGGUGCUGGAAGGUUAAGGGGAACACUUAGCGCAAGCGAAGGUGUGAACUUAAGCCCCAGUAAACGGCGGCCGUAACUAUAACGGUCCUAAGGUAGCGAAAUUCCUUGUCAGGUAAGUUCUGACCCGCACGAAUGGCGUAAUGAUUUGGGCACUGUCUCAACAGCCCGCCCGGCGAAAUUGUAGUACUGGUGAAGAUGCCAGUUACCCGCAACUAGACGGAAAGACCCCAUGGAGCUUUACUGCAGCUUAAUACUGAAAUUCGGUAGUACAUGUACAGGAUAGGUGGGAGACUGAGAAAUACAGGCGUCAGCUUGUAUGGAGUCGCUGUUGGGAUACCACUCUUGUACUGCUGGGUUUCUAACCUGCGGCCGUGAAUCCGGUCGGGGGACACUGUUAGGCGGGCAGUUUGACUGGGGCGGUCGCCUCCAAAAGAGUAACGGAGGCGCUCAAAGGUUCGUUCAGCACGGACGGAAAUCGUGCAUUGAGUGUAAACGCAUAAACGAGCCUAACUGCGAGACCGACGGGUCGAGCAGUAACGAAAGUUGGAGUUAGUGAUCCGGUGGUAUGUGAGUGGAAAUGCCAUCGCUCAACGGAUAAAAGCUACCCUGGGGAUAACAGGCUGAUCUCCCCCAAGAGUCCACAUCGACGGGGAGGUUUGGCACCUCGAUGUCGGCUCAUCGCAUCCUGGGGCUGUAUUCGGUCCCAAGGGUUUGGCUGUUCGCCAAUUAAAGCGGCACGCGAGCUGGGUUCAGAACGUCGUGAGACAGUUCGGUCCCUAUCUGUUGCGGGCGUAAGAGAUUUGAAGGGAGCUGUCCUUAGUACGAGAGGACCGGGAUGGACGUACCUCUGGUGCACCAGUUGUCCUGCCAAGGGCAUAGCUGGGUAGCUAUGUACGGACGAGAUAAACGCUGAAAGCAUCUAAGCGUGAAACUCCCCCUAAGAUGAGAUCUCUCAUCCUUUAUGGAGUAAGGGCCCAGAAAGACGAUCUGGUUGAUAGGCCGGAGGUGGAAGUGCAGUAAUGUAUGGAGCUGACCGGUACUAAUAGCCCGAGGGCUUGACCU
RNAcentral lists this ribosomal RNA (2897 nucleotides) under metagenome. Its description in RNAcentral is "bacterial LSU rRNA". It matches the Rfam family "Bacterial large subunit ribosomal RNA". The record is from RNAcentral.